RNAcentral lists this ribosomal RNA (459 nucleotides) under uncultured bacterium. RNAcentral's name for it is "partial 16S ribosomal RNA". It matches the Rfam family "Bacterial small subunit ribosomal RNA", at positions 338 to 795 of the family's 1533-position model. The record is from RNAcentral.
CCUACGGGAGGCAGCAGUGAGGAAUAUUGGUCAAUGGGCGGAAGCCUGAACCAGCCAAGCCGCGUGAGGGAUGAAGGUACAGAGUAUCGUAAACCUCUUUUGUCAGGGAACAAAGGCGGGGACGCGUCCCCGGAUGAGUGUACCUGAAGAAAAAGCAUCGGCUAACUCCGUGCCAGCAGCCGCGGUAAUACGGAGGAUGCGAGCGUUAUCCGGAUUUAUUGGGUUUAAAGGGUGCGCAGGCGGUCUGUUAAGUCAGCGGUCAAAGCCCGGGGCUCAACCCCGGCCCGCCGUUGAAACUGGCAGUCUCGAGUUGGAGAGAAGUAUGCGGAAUGCGUGGUGUAGCGGUGAAAUGCAUAGAUAUAACGCAGAACUCCGAUUGCGAAGGCAGCAUACCGGCGCUCAACUGACGCUGAGGCACGAAAGCGUGGGGAUCGAACAGGAUUAGAUACCCGUGUAGUC